Molecule: non-coding RNA, 88 nt
Organism: Cricetulus griseus (Chinese hamster)
Lineage: Eukaryota; Metazoa; Chordata; Mammalia; Rodentia; Cricetidae
Source: Rfam
CCUUCGGUAGCUCAGUUGGUAGAGCGGAGGACUGUAGGUGCAUCUUCUAGGUAUCCUUAGGUCGCUGGUUCGAAUCCGGCUCGAAGGA